Molecule: ribosomal RNA, 155 nt
Filed under: Clusia sp. JA 3657
Lineage: Eukaryota; Viridiplantae; Streptophyta; Magnoliopsida; Malpighiales; Clusiaceae
Description: 5.8S ribosomal RNA
Rfam family: 5.8S ribosomal RNA
About the family: 5.8S ribosomal RNA (5.8S rRNA) is a component of the large subunit of the eukaryotic ribosome. It is transcribed by RNA polymerase I as part of the 45S precursor that also contains 18S and 28S rRNA.
Source: RNAcentral
AACGACUCUCGGCAACGGAUAUCUCGGCUCUCGCAUCGAUGAAGAACGUAGCGAAAUGCGAUACUUGGUGUGAAUUGCAGAAUCCCGUGAACCAUCGAGUCUUUGAACGCAAGUUGCGCCCAAAGCCUUUUGGUUGAGGGCACGUCUACCUGGGU